UAUGAGUUCAAUAGGUAACAUAUUUGGCUGAAAAUGAGAAAAAGAUUGAAACAUCUAUAAAGUUGCGACCCAUAGCUUAACUCAAGCAGAUAAAACAAAUAGCUAUAAUCUAAGUGUGAAGAAACCUUUGUAAAGAAAUUGUGAAGCUCAAUAUGAAAUAUAACAGAAUGUUAAUGCAUUAUACUCCAACAAAGAUAGAUUCAAUCAACUUAGAGCUGCAAUAAUAAUGGUAACAAAAAUAGUAUAGCAUUGCCAUUUUGUUUUUAAUCAAAAGUUUGAUCUUGGAGGAUGGUUUCCUUUUCUCUAGUGAAGAACAUGUACAUAAUUGAAUCGUUGUGCAGCGGAAGUCUCAACAGGAAAGCUAGUAACCUUCACUGCACCUUUACUCCACUCCCUGUUGAGUUGAUCAUUAAAGCUAGUAACCUUCACUGCACCUUUACUCCACUCCCUGUUGAGUUGAUCAUUAAUUAGACAUCAAUUGAUUUUUUUUACCAUAUGUCGAUUAAAAUAUUAAUUUAUACAACUCAUUUCUAUAUAAACAAUCAAGAUGCUUAGAACAUACAUAAGCAGGAUUCAUCAUGACAGGAGCUUUUGCUCAUGGAGCUAUAUUUAUUCAAAGUGGCUUACUUCUACAAAAAUCAUAAAUAAAAUAUAAAGGAAAGCUUCAAACUCUACCUAAUUAGCUCAUAUGAUCAACAAAAUCCAAAAAACUUGAAAAAAGAAAUAAAUUUGUACUCUCUUGCAGAGAUAAAAAAUACAACUUCUCUAUCUCCACGAAGUAGGGGUAAGGGUCUACGUGCACUCUACCUCCUCAAACCCCGCUUUUGGGAUUACACAGUGUGUGUUGAUGAUGUUGUUGUUGUUGUUGAAAUAAGCACAAAACAAUGGACGCACACUAACAUAACUAAGGCAAAGGAUAACUCAAACUUUGUUUUUCAUGAAUCUCAAACCUUGAGUCACAUCCUCCGAGGGACAGAGUUAUCUGAUGCCUAUGCUCGUGAGAGGUAGCAAGUACCCAUAAAAUUAGUCAAGGUCCAUGCAAGCUAGCUCAAACACCACAAUUAUCAAAAAAAUUCUUAAACUUGGAUAACCUUUUGUAGAAUUUCUACAUAAUAAGCCUAAAUCAUUAUCCACUAAAACUUCCAUAAACAUCAAAUUCAUACAUUCAUUCUGCAACUAAAAUCCCAAAAAAUGAAGAAUAAGAUUACAAACAUUAACAAAAGUGGGGUAAAAAAAUAACUUGAGCUUUGUUAAUCAAAACAUCAACAACUUCUUUAAUCCCAAAAACUCUUUUAAAUUGCCUUCAAAUGCCUAGCACUAUUUUUAAAAAAUAAAUUACUGAAAAACCUUAGUGAAAAUUCCAAAUUCACCGACUAUCCUACACCAGCUACCCCUAAAUCCUCACCCAUCCAUCCCAUUUGUAUUUUGCUAGAUUACAACGCCCCCUAUCUCAUCCCGUGACUAUCCUAUACAAAAUGGAAAAUCUAGUCUCCAAGGAGUUGGGAGACAAUAAUUGACAUAACUAUGUCAUCUUACAUAGGGACAGAAUAAAUUCAAUCUCACCCUAUGGUCAUCCAUGUAUAGUAGACAAACAGUAAGUAAAGAGACAUUAUGUAAAUCCACCAACUAUUCAUUAUUUUUGAAGUAAUACAAUGAGGGGAUCACAUGUUAAAAAAAUAAAAUUAAGUUUAUUACUUUUAUUCAUGAAGUUGUACAACUCUUGAGGCUCGUCUGUUUUGGUUCUCUCAAUUAGGUUCUUUAAGAAGCAAAGACGUAGUACAAUGAAUACAGAGCUUUCAGAUAAAUGAAUAAUAUAUGUUAAAAUUGCACUCGAUGAAAAAUAAAUAACUCAUUUUACAAAGUAUUCUUCAUGUUAAAAGAAAGUCUACCUUGUUAUAUAAGCACAUUAUUAUUUAUGUUUAUAUACAUACACACAAGUCAGUAUUCAACAUUAUAAUGCAACUGCAUAUACAACUGUAAAAUCAAAUCAACUAAAGAGGGAGAAAUGUUGGACUUUCCGUAUAGAAGAAAGAGUUGUUAAAUAGGGUAACUCUAAUAGCGAAACCUUCCAGUUAUUCAAAGUCCAACAUAUAUAUAUAUAUAUAUAUAUAUAAAAUUUUCGUUUUGAUAUGUAAGAUUAUCAGAAGAAGACCAAAGGUGCUAGUUAUUCUUUUAGUCACAUACAAAAAUGUACCUAUAAAGCUCAACAACAAAUCCUCAAUUUACCAUGAAACUCAAAUUGACUCAUCUACCAUGCCAAACUGUUAGGUCAUGGACAUGGAUCUCCAUCAACAAAAAUUGCUAGAAUGUCCAAUUCUAUCUUCUCUUAUUCCACUCUUAUGCUUAAAAAGACUCAUUCAUCAAGCAAUACGUUAACAAUAAAGAGUUCUACGGUAAUUAUCACUUUCAAAUAAGUAGACUAUCACAUUAACAAUAAUGUGUUCCACAGUAAUUACCACUUUCAAAUAAGCAAACUAUGCAGUAUGUACUCCAAAAAUAGUUGUUAUUAACAGGAAAAAGAUGUAAUUUCGAGGUUCUGCUACCAAUCAACCACUCUGUCAGUUCUAUUCAGGUUCAAAAUUAAGUUCAAUUUACCUUAUAAUGCUCAAUGUUCCCUACAUCACAUCUUUUCAAUUUCUUUCCUUUCCUUUGUUCUCCAAGUACCUGUAAAGUCCAAUUUAUAAAAAAAAAAUAACAAAUUGAGAAAACACCCGCAUCAAGAACAAAAGCGGAAGCAACACCACAUUUAUGAAAUACACACCAAAUUGAAAUACGAAGCUAUAAUAGGGACACAGAGCAGUAAACAACAAUAACAACAACAUUCAAUGAAGUUUAGAUUCCGUGCAUGCAACAUUAGCACAAAAUGAGAUCUAAAAUCAAAAGGCAAAACAAAAAUGAGAAGUAAGAAGAAAGGGAAGAAGCAGCGCAUACCUUCCUAGGUAUGCAAUUUAACUGAGAAUUUCAUAUGAGAGCUUGCAAAACCCUUCCAUUUUGCAGAGAAUUUUUUCUUGGGAAAGAAAAUGGAUGAAAAGGAACAUGGGUAUAUCACGUAUCCAGGACACGUUUUUCACAGAUGAAU
Molecule: long non-coding RNA, 3079 nt
Filed under: Solanum lycopersicum (tomato)
Lineage: Eukaryota; Viridiplantae; Streptophyta; Magnoliopsida; Solanales; Solanaceae
Description: long non-coding RNA (SLYC_LNC000272)
Source: RNAcentral